GAUGAACGCUGGCGGCGUGCCUAAUACAUGCAAGUCGAACGAGGUGCUUUUGUAGCAAUACGGAAGUAUCCUAGUGGCGAACGGGUGAGUAACGCGUUGGUGACCUACCCCAAAGUGUGGGAUACCAGUCCGAAAGGACUGCUAAUACCGCAUGUGGUCUUCGGGCUUAGAAACCGAUGACUAAAGGAGCAAUUCGCUUUGGGAGGGACCUGCGUCCCAUCAGCUAGUUGGUAGGGUAACGGCCUACCAAGGCUACGACGGGUAGGGGACCUGAGAGGGUGGCCCCCCCANAAUGGAACUGAAACACGGUCCAUACACCUACGGGUGGCAGCAGUAGGGAAUAUUGCACAAUGGGCGAAAGCCUGAUGCAGCAACGCCGCGUGU
This 384-nucleotide ribosomal RNA is filed under the name uncultured bacterium. RNAcentral describes it as "bacterial SSU rRNA". It matches the Rfam family "Bacterial small subunit ribosomal RNA", at positions 28 to 404 of the family's 1533-position model. The record is from RNAcentral.